UACGUAGGGUGCGAGCGUUAAUCGGAAUUACUGGGCGUAAAGCGUGCGCAGGCGGUUUUGUAAGCCAGAUGUGAAAUCCCCGGGCUUAACCUGGGAACUGCAUUUGGGACUGCAAGGCUUGAGUACGGCAGAGGGGGGUAGAAUUCCUGGUGUAGCAGUGAAAUGCGUAGAUAUCAAGUGGAACACCAGUGGCGAAGGCGAGUCUCUGGACAUUUCCUGACGCUGAGGCACGAAAGCCAGGGGAGCAAACGGG
Molecule: ribosomal RNA, 253 nt
Filed under: uncultured bacterium
Lineage: Bacteria
Description: partial 16S ribosomal RNA
Rfam family: Bacterial small subunit ribosomal RNA
Source: RNAcentral